Molecule: unclassified non-coding RNA, 2245 nt
Filed under: Hevea brasiliensis (rubber tree)
Lineage: Eukaryota; Viridiplantae; Streptophyta; Magnoliopsida; Malpighiales; Euphorbiaceae
Source: RNAcentral
UUUCAUUAAUGUCCACAAACUCAAAUCAAAAUACCCCAGUCCUGGCUGGCUGCCGUAACAAACCAACCCAACCCCACACGUCAUGAGGGUACACCUAGGCACGCCUAGGGUAAAAUGUUGAAGUUAAAAUCCUUUAUCCACCACGGUGAAAACGGCUACAAAAAAUUGUUGCCGUUUCCCGGAACCCAAAAUAAAAAUCUAACGUACACUUAUCAUUUUUCUUCUCUGUCUCUGUCUUGCGCUUUGAUUCCUUUGAUCACACUCAUAAUUUCCUUCUACUAAUAAAGUUUUCAAAAUGAACUUGGAGAUUAGCAAAUCUGGCUCUGAGAGUGGACAGGGUUCCGGCAGGAAUGACGGCGGUUUGAGAGCGGAGAUUGAUACUUCUGCGCCGUUUCAGUCUGUCAAGGAGGCAGUGACUCGAUUCGGUGAAGUCGGUUACUGGAAACCAUCUCAACAUAAGCUCUCUGAAACUGAGCAUGACGAGGAAGAGGUUGGCAUUUCAAAAGUAGAGGAACAAGCAGCACUGUUGGAAAAAGAUCUGAUCAUGAAAGAAAGAGAAACACUAGAUGUUUUAAAACAGUUGGAAACAACAAAAAUGAUGAUUGAAGAACUAAAACUAAAGUUACAGAAACAGGCAUCUGAAGCCAAUAUGACCUUGGAGUCAAGUGCAGAUGAUAGAAAUUUGACUCUUGCUUUAAAGGAAGAAAAGAAGGAUGACUUUAAUCAUGAGAAUCUUGGAUAUCAUAAUCAGAAUUUCGUGGAAGGUUUGAGCCCCUGCCCCUCUUCAGCUCCUGGUUUAAUUUUAAUGGAACUGAAGCAGGCUAAGUUGAAUCUUUCCAGGACUACUAAUGAUCUUGCUGACAUUCGAGGUUCUGUUGAAUUUUUAAAUAAGAAAUUAGAGAAUGAAAGAAUUUCACUUGAAAAAACCCAUGGGAGGUUUGCCCUGAAUUCCUCAAAGAUAUCGUCUCUUGAGGAAGAGCUAAACGAAACAAAACAAAAACUUCAACUGGUGAAAAAUGCUGAAAUUAAUUGUGGUUUUGAGAACUCUUUGGAUAUAAUAAGGGAACUCCACCAGCUGAAUUCUGAGGCAGACCAGUUCAAAAAAAUGGGGGAUGCUGCACAAUCUGAAGUUUUGAAAACAAUAUCUGAGAUUGAACAAACAAAAAGUAGGAUAAAAACAGCCGAGAUCAGGUUGGUUGCUGUCAGAAAAAUGAAGCAAGCAGCAAGAGCAGCAGAAGCUGUUGCGCUUGCAGAGAUCAAGGCUAUGUCAAGCCAUGAGAACUCAUUGGAAGAUUCCUCACAGAAGGCUGAAGGAGUAACUCUUACAUUCGAAGAGUAUUCAGCCUUAACCUGCCUAGCUCAAAAAGCUGAGGAACUAUCCAAGGCUAAGGUAAUGGCCACCAUGCAUCAAGUUGAUGAUGCAAAUGUUUCAAGUAUUCAAAUCUUGAAGAGGGUAGAGGAAGCUACAGAAGAAGUCAAAACCAGUAAGAGGGCCUUGGAAGAAGUCCUGAACAGAGUAGAGGCUGCAAAUAGGGGAAAGCUUGCAGUUGAAGAAGCUCUUCGCAAGUGGAGAUCUGACCACGGGCAGAAAAGACGUUUAGUGCAGAACUCUACCAAGUUUAAGAAUUCAUACCCAUCUCACCAUCGGAGGGAUUCUCAUUUGCUUGAUGUAAGUGGACUAAACCCAUUGAGUGAUGGGUCAACACCUGUUUUGAAGCCAACCCUAUCAAUAGGCCAAAUACUUAGAAGGAAGCUACUCUUGCCUGAAGAGUUUGAGACAGGGAUGAUGGCAGAAAAAGGCACCAUGAAGAGAAAGAUGUCACUGGGCCAAAUGCUCAGUAAACCAAAUGGUGAUGUACCCACUACUUGUAAGGUUGAGAAGGAAAACUGUCACAAGCAAUUUUCUGGAAAGAGGAAGAAGUUUGGAUUUGCUCGGUUCUCACUACUCUUGACAAACCAGAGCAAGAAAAAAAGAAGCCUACUCCAAACUUGAGGUAAUGUGGCUGGCCAUGCCCAUUGUUUUCAAUCAGGGUUAACUUCUAAAUUCAUCGCUUACCAUGGUGGACUCUUUUAUAUUCAUGUUUUCUAAUGUUUCUAGCUUCAUGUAGUUGUUUCUGUUGGCUACAUUUGUAUUUUGUACUUGUUUAUUGUAAAAAUGUUUAGGAUGUUUUACGUGAUUGGAUAUCAUGAUUGGAUUGUGCAUGGUAAGAUGUAAUCCUUUCCGGAAACUAAUUUGCCUUGUGAG